AGAGUUUGAUUCUGGCUCAGGAUGAACGCUAGCGACAGGCUUAACACAUGCAAGUCGAGGGGCAGCACGGGAGUAGCAAUACUUGGUGGCGACCGGCGCACGGGUGAGUAACGCGUAUGCAACCUACCUAUCAGAGGGGAAUAACCCGGCGAAAGUCGGACUAAUACCGCAUAAAACAGGGGCACCGCAUGGUGAUAUUUGUUAAAGAAAUUCGCUGAUAGAUGGGCAUGCGUUCCAUUAGGUAGUUGGUGAGGUAACGGCUCACCAAGCCGACGAUGGAUAGGGGAACUGAGAGGUUGGUCCCCCACACUGGUACUGAGACACGGACCAGACUCCUACGGGAGGCAGCAGUGAGGAAUAUUGGUCAAUGGGCGGGAGCCUGAACCAGCCAAGUCGCCGUGAAGGAAGAAGGAUCUAUGGUUCGUAAACUUCUUUUGCAGGGGAAUAAAGUGCAGGACGUGUCCUGUUUUGUAUGUACCCUGAGAAUAAGGAUCGGCUAACUCCGUGCCAGCCGCCGC
Molecule: ribosomal RNA, 518 nt
Filed under: uncultured bacterium
Lineage: Bacteria
Description: bacterial SSU rRNA
Rfam family: Bacterial small subunit ribosomal RNA
Source: RNAcentral